Molecule: ribosomal RNA, 953 nt
Filed under: alpha proteobacterium HIMB59
Lineage: Bacteria; Pseudomonadati; Pseudomonadota; Alphaproteobacteria; Candidatus Pelagibacterales; Candidatus Pelagibacteraceae
Description: bacterial SSU rRNA
Rfam family: Bacterial small subunit ribosomal RNA
Source: RNAcentral
UCAACUUAAGAGUUUGAUUAUGGCUCAGAACGAACGCUUGCUGCAUGCUUUAUACAUGCAAGUCGAACGGAGGCCCUAGCUUGCUAGGUGUCCUUAGUGGCGCACGGGUGAGUAACACGUGGGAACAUACCUCAUAGUACGGAAUAACUGCGGGAAACUGUAGCUAAUACCGUAUAUUCCAGUAAUGGGAAAGAUUUAUCGCUAUAAGAUUGGCCCGCGCAAGAUUAGCUUGUUGGUGAGGUAAAAGCUCACCAAGGCUUCGAUCUUUAGCUGGUUUGAGAGGAUGAUCAGCCACACUGGGACUGAGACACGGCCCAGACUCCUACGGGAGGCAGCAGUAGGGAAUAUUGGACAAUGGGGGCAACCCUGAUCCAGCAAUGCAGCGUGAGUGACGAAGGCCUUAGGGUUGUAAAACUCUUUCAUCGGUGAGGAUAAUGACAGUAGCCGAAGAAGAAGGACCGGCUAAUUCCGUGCCAGCAGCCGCGGUAAUACGGAAGGUCCUAGCGUUGUUCGGAAUUACUGGGCGUAAAGCGCAUGUAGGCGGAACAGAAAGUUAGAAGUGAAAUCCCUGGGCUCAACCUAGGAAUUGCUUUUAAAACUUCUGUUCUGGAAUUCAGGAGAGGAAAAUGGAAUAUCCAGUGUAGAGGUGAAAUUCGUAGAUAUUGGAUGGAACACCAGUGGCGAAGGCGAUUUUCUGGACUGAUAUUGACGCUGAGAUGCGAAGGCAUGGGUAGCAAACGGGAUUAGAUACCCCGGUAGUCCAUGCAGUAAACGAUGGGUGCUAGUCGUCGGACUUUUGUUCGGUGUCGUAGCUAACGCGUUAAGCACCCCGCCUGGGGAGUACGGUCGCAAGAUUAAAACUCAAAUAAAUUGACGGGGACCCGCACAAGCAGUGGAGCAUGUGGUUUAAUUCGACGCAACGCGAAGAACCUUACCAGCGUUUGACAUGGGAA